Molecule: long non-coding RNA, 350 nt
Organism: Scophthalmus maximus (turbot)
Lineage: Eukaryota; Metazoa; Chordata; Actinopteri; Pleuronectiformes; Scophthalmidae
Exons: 2
Source: RefSeq, a predicted model, not a curated record
CGCUGCGGGCUGUGCGGAGCUCCUCAUGACUUUGUUCGCGAAGACGGAGUGAUGGGGGGUACGGCGGAGCCCCCCUGAGCUGCAAGUUCAAGUGCGGACGUGACGUCCCUGCCGAACUUGAACGUCAGGAGACGGACGGACACCACUGAGGAUUGACGCACCAAUGAAGUGUGUCGGCACUUUAAAUGAUCGGCCGUGUAGUGGAACGUCUGUCCGGCAGCUCACACAAUGGAAGUCAGCUGUCGCCUGGAGGAAGCCUCCACUGUCUGGCCUGGGCCCCAUGCACCGUCGUGACUGUAUGAUUUACAUAAAAGUCGAAAAUAAUUGAAAUAAAAGGAUUUGUGAUUCUU